RNAcentral lists this ribosomal RNA (253 nucleotides) under uncultured bacterium. RNAcentral's name for it is "partial 16S ribosomal RNA". It matches the Rfam family "Bacterial small subunit ribosomal RNA", at positions 524 to 776 of the family's 1533-position model. The record is from RNAcentral.
UACGGAGGGGGCUAGCGUUGUUCGGAAUUACUGGGCGUAAAGCGCACGUAGGCGGAUUUGUAAGUCAGAGGUGAAAGCCUGGAGCUUAACUCCAGAACUGCCUUUGAUACUGCAUCGCUCGAAUCCGGGAGAGGUGAGUGGAAUUCCGAGUGUAGAGGUGAAAUUCGUAGAUAUUCGGAAGAACACCAGUGGCGAAGGCGGCUCACUGGACCGGCAUUGACGCUGAGGUGCGAAAGCGUGGGGAGCAAACAGG